GACGAACGCUGGCGGCGUGCUUAACACAUGCAAGUCGAGCGGUAAGGCCCUUUCGGGGGUACACGAGCGGCGAACGGGUGAGUAACACGUGGGUGACCUGCCCUCAGCUCUGGGAUAAGCCUGGGAAACCGGGUCUAAUACCGGAUAUGACUCCAUGACGCAUGUUGUGGGGUGGAAAGCCUUGUGCGGCUGAGGAUGGGCCCGCGGCCUAUCAGCUUGUUGGUGGGGUGAUGGCCUACCAAGGCGACGACGGGUAGCCGGCCUGAGAGGGCGACCGGCCACACUGGGACUGAGACACGGCCCAGACUCCUACGGGAGGCAGCAGUGGGGAAUAUUGGACAAUGGGCGAAAGCCUGAUCCAGCCAUGCCGCGUGGGUGAAGAAGGCCCUAGGGUU
Molecule: ribosomal RNA, 395 nt
Filed under: uncultured bacterium
Lineage: Bacteria
Description: bacterial SSU rRNA
Rfam family: Bacterial small subunit ribosomal RNA
Source: RNAcentral